GUGCAGCAUGGGUCAUCCUGCAAGGACAUUGAACCUAUGGUCAAUCUUCAUCUCCUGCUUUAUUACAGGUAACUUUGUGCUUACUUCCAUCUCACUGAUGAAGACCAUAAAUAGUGUUGAAACGAAUAUCAAGUUGAAUAGAAGAACCCCUCCAGAACCUCCUCAAUCAGUGAUUAUUCUUUGUUGACAGGGCAAGAAGAACUGCCACUUUUAGAUGCAAGCAGAAGGAGACAUUAUUGGAUUGGGUACUCAAGGCAUGGUCUGCUUGUAAUGGGGGAAAUAACCUUCUCUACAGUAAACAUGUCUGAAAGAAAUGACCCAUCAGACCAAAGCAAUGCUAGGUACCCAGGGAGAAGGAGUUUCUGGAGGAUUCUGGUGACUCAUGACCAUUGUGACUGUUCAUGGGGUAGAGGGGCUGGUUUUGCAGGUACUUUAAGAAAUAUUUGUGAGGCAGCCCAGGCUUUGGAGGUUCAAGGUCCCCAGGAGUCAAGGCUGACAGAAUCAGCAGGAAGGUUAAAUUGAAAAUACUGGCAGAUAUCUCAGAGCUAGUGUACAGCCAAA
Molecule: long non-coding RNA, 561 nt
Organism: Alligator mississippiensis (American alligator)
Lineage: Eukaryota; Metazoa; Chordata; Crocodylia; Alligatoridae
Exons: 3
Source: RefSeq, a predicted model, not a curated record